UACGUAGGGGGCGAGCGUUGUCCGGAUUUAUUGGGCGUAAAGAGCGUGUAGGCGGCCAACUAAGUCAGACGUGAAAUCCCUCGGCUUAACCGGGGAACUGCAUCUGAUACUGGAUGGCUUGAGUUCGGGAGAGGGAUGCGGAAUUCCAGGUGUAGCGGUGAAAUGCGUAGAUAUCUGGAGGAACACCGGUGGCGAAGGCGGCAUCCUGGACCGACACUGACGCUGAGGAGCGAAAGCCAGGGGAGCAAACGGG
Molecule: ribosomal RNA, 253 nt
Filed under: uncultured bacterium
Lineage: Bacteria
Description: partial 16S ribosomal RNA
Rfam family: Bacterial small subunit ribosomal RNA
Source: RNAcentral